AUAUCAAUAAGCGGAGGAAAAGAAACCAACAGGGAUUGCCCUAGUAACGGCGAGUGAAGCGGCAACAGCUCAAAUUUGAAAUCUGGCCCUAGGCCCGAGUUGUAAUUUGCAGAGGAUGCUUUUGGUGACGCGCUUACCGAGUCCCCUGGAACGGGGCGCCACAGAGGGUGAGAGCCCCGUAUGGUUUGACGCCGAGCCUCUGUAAAGCUCCUUCGACGAGUCGAGUAGUUUGGGAAUGCUGCUCUAAAUGGGAGGUAAAUUUCUUCUAAAGCUAAAUACCGGCCAGAGACCGAUAGCGCACAAGUAGAGUGAUCGAAAGAUGAAAAGCACUUUGAAAAGAGGGUUAAAUAGCACGUGAAAUUGUUGAAAGGGAAGCGCUUGUGACCAGACUUGCGCCGGGCGGAUCAUCCAGCGUUCUCGCUGGUGCACUCCGCCCGGCUCAGGCCAGCAUCGGUUUUCGCCGGGGGACAAAAGCUUCGGGAACGUAGCUCCUCUCGGGGAGUGUUAUAGCCUGUUGCGUAAUACCCCGGCGGGGACCGAGGACCGCGCUUCGGCAAGGAUGCUGGCGUAAUGGUCAUCAGCGACCCGUCUUGAAACACGGACCGAGGAGUCAAGCAUUAGUGCGAGUGUUUGGGUGUAAAACCCGCACGCGUAAUGAAAGUGAACGUAGGUGAGAGCUUCGGCGCAUCAUCGACCGAUCCUGAUGUUUUCGGAUGGAUUUGAGUAGGAGCAUUAACGCUUGGACCCGAAAGAUGGUGAACUAUACUUGAAUAGGGUGAAGCCAGAGGAAACUCUGGUGGAGGCUCGCAGCGGUUCUGACGUGCAAAUCGAUCGUCAAAUUUGAGUAUAGGGCGAAAGACUAAUCGA
Molecule: ribosomal RNA, 867 nt
Filed under: Magnaporthaceae sp. CPC 26284
Lineage: Eukaryota; Fungi; Ascomycota; Sordariomycetes; Magnaporthales; Magnaporthaceae
Description: eukaryotic LSU rRNA
Rfam family: Eukaryotic large subunit ribosomal RNA
Source: RNAcentral